Molecule: ribosomal RNA, 512 nt
Filed under: uncultured bacterium
Lineage: Bacteria
Description: bacterial SSU rRNA
Rfam family: Bacterial small subunit ribosomal RNA
Source: RNAcentral
GAUCAUGGCUCAGGAUGAACGCUAGCGACAGGCUUAACACAUGCAAGUCGAGGGCAUCACGGGAGUAGCAAUACAACUGGUGGCGACCGGCGCACGGGUGAGUAACGCGUAUGCAACCUACCUAUCAGGAGGGGAAUAACCCGGCGAAAGUCGGACUAAUACCGCAUAAAACAGGGGCACCGCAUGGUGAUAUUUGUUAAAGAAAUUCGCUGAUAGAUGGGCAUGCGUUCCAUUAGGUAGUUGGUGAGGUAACGGCUCACCAAGCCGACGAUGGAUAGGGGAACUGAGAGAUUGGUCCCCCACACUGGUACUGAGACACGGACCAGACUCCUACGGGAGGCAGCAGUGAGGAAUAUUGGUCAAUGGGCGGGAGCCUGAACCAGCCAAGUCGCGUGAAGGAAGAAGGAUCUAUGGUUCGUAAACUUCUUUUGCAGGGGAAUAAAGUGCAGGACGUGUCCUGUUUUGUAUGUACCCUGAGAAUAAGGAUCGGCUAACUCCGUGCCAGCAGCCGC